This 93-nucleotide small nucleolar RNA is filed under the name Theobroma cacao (cacao). RNAcentral describes it as "Small nucleolar RNA snoR8a". It matches the Rfam family "Small nucleolar RNA snoR8a". Lineage: Eukaryota; Viridiplantae; Streptophyta; Magnoliopsida; Malvales; Malvaceae. The record is from Rfam by way of RNAcentral.
AUGUUAGCGAUGAUUAUAAAAGUAAUUUCUCGUUCUAGCUUACUUAAUUUAGACAUGACAAACAUCUUAUUACAACCAUAGAAUAUGAGUUCC